UGGGUGAGUAUCAGAUGUGUCUGUCGGCAUCUUAGAUGCUGCCAUCAGAGAGGCUCUAUGGAACAAGUUUAAAGGUCUGGACUCUGUUUCACUCACCUCCACUGCUUAUGUAAAGGGGACAAAGUAUUCUAAAGGAAUGGUGCUCUCAGUUGGACAGACAUGUGGACUGCCAGAUUUUGGGAGAGUAUUGGAGAUAUGUGUAGUGGAUGGCUGCAUAUCAUUCAUUUUGGAACUAUUCGCAGUGACCUUCCUGGAGCAUCUAAGGUGUUACCAGCUCACCAGAAGAGACCCUGCAGCAACUGUGGUUGUUGACCCUGACGAUCUGAAUGACUACACCCCACUUGCUGCAUACCCUGUUGAAGGAAAGCUGCUCAUCACUCCAAGGAUGUUCAUGUUACAUUAAGUUACUGCUGCCUCAUCAAUGAUGCUUCUCCAAGUCAUUGUCUCACCUCAGGAAAUAAGAUGUUCCCUCAUCAGUUGAUGAGAUAUGUACAGUACUGCGUAACACUCUGGGACUCCGAGGGAGCUUUCUUUUAUAGUUUGAAGAUCCAGACUUUGGGAAUGAGCUCUGCAGUUUGACUGAUAUCAAGGAUCUACCAACUGAACGAACAACACUGAAAGUCCUCUUCAUGUUAUCUGAACCACAUUCUGACUCAACAUUAGAUACUGCAAGCCCCGGUCCCCCAAGUAGUGCAGAUCCAACAGAAGGGUCUGAACCAUUUAUUAUUCCACAUUUCUCUCAUGAUGUUGAGUAUCAGCUGAGGGUAGCAAAUGAUGCCUGUGCCAAUGAUGGAGCUGCGAUGGUUGUCUCAAAGAGUGUAAUACUGGACAGACUGGCUGAUUGCAUCGCCAAAAUCACUCCCUAUCCUACUAGAGACAACAUAGAAAGCGCUGGUGGUCAAGCACCCUUGCGUGAGGGAGCCAGGUUCUGGUCAAGGAUGGUAUUUCUGGAAGUUCAGCUUGUAUUCAAGAUGAGCAAUUAUCAGAGGAUGAUGGCAGCUGGAUGCCCAGAAGUUCUGGUAAAUAAAAGAAAAAGAGGAAAAAGAAAUGGCAAGCCACUCAAGAAGUCAAAAAAGGGAGAGAUCCACUAUUUGCCACAGCCACCUGAGGGACAAAUUGCAGUCAAAGCAGUCAAAGCUCUAAAAGUGCAGAAGAAAGAUCCAGAUUUACAGGUCCUGGAUGAAUUGAUGACUGCAACAUUUGCACAGCAGAGACAAGAAAUAAUCAGUGAUGAACCUCUCAUCUUUGUUGUCAAGGACAGAUGGCCUGCAUUGUUUAGUGAGCGACAGCUAAUUGCAGAGUUCUGGAGAAUUGUCACCAAAGACCUGCUGGAAUCCUUUUUGGGUGGACGUGAUGCCUUCAUGCUCAGUCUUCUACAACUUUACAAAACAGCUGCUGCA
This is a long non-coding RNA of Archocentrus centrarchus (flier cichlid), 1400 nucleotides long. RefSeq lists it as uncharacterized. NCBI's taxonomy places the organism in Eukaryota, Metazoa, Chordata, Actinopteri, Cichliformes, Cichlidae. The record is from RefSeq and is a predicted model, not a curated record. The transcript has 3 exons.